CGGAUGCCGAGCUCACUGUUUAUCGAACUGUGUUCAUAGGUGUAUCGCCUAGUUCAGCACCGUACUUAGUGACUAUUUUGAUAGCGUUUUUACAAAGCGUAGCGUUUUUUAUAAAAACUUUUGUGUGUUUGUUUUGUGAUUUUGAUUAAAAUGGCUACCGAAUCGCGGGGAAUGAGUCAUUGUGCGGCUGUUUUAUGUAAGAACAAUUCAAAUAAUUGUGAUUUGAGUUUUUUUUAGAUUUCCGAGAGAAUCAGAAAGGGCAAGAAUUUGGGCAAUUGCUUCUAGCAGAGAAGAUUUGAUAACAAAGAAGAACCUCCAUACUCUUAUAAAAUUUGUGGGAGGCAUUUUGAAAACAAGAUGUUUCUAAACGAUUUACACAACAGACUACAAAAAAAUGCAGUGCCCACUUUAUUCGCAGCGCUAGAAGGCUCAUCUUCAGAUUCAACCAGAAAAAUAUGCCAAGAUUUAGAUGAAGCUUUUCCGCAUUCAUCCGAUGUGACCUCUGUUAUAACUUUUUCUCCAACGCUAGAAGACACAUCUUCGCAUUCAACGAAAGAACUAUGUCAAGAAACUUUACCACAGUCAUCCGAUGUAGCUUCUGUAGGUACUUUGUUUCCUGCACUAGAAAGCACAUCUUAGCAUUUAACCAAAGAAUUAUGCCAAGAUUUAGUUAAAACCUUCCCACAUUUAUCUGAUGUGGCUUCUGUUAGUAGAUCUUGCCUCGUUACUGCGCAAUCCCACCAAACUCAAUUCAAGAGACAAAAAAGUUUUAUUUGUAUAAUCCACAGAACAUAAUAAAAAUUGCACAAAAGUCAGUGGCGUAUAUUUUAGUUGUUGUUAAAUUUUAACACCCUGUAUAUUGAGAACGAAGAAUUUCUGGACAUAUGUUUUUAUGAACUUUUUGUUUUAAAAUUACUCAAAAAAUGGUCUCUUAAAUUUAUGGUACAUACCUAAUUAACUUCCUGCACGUAUUCUUCUAUAUUGCGUUGUUAGAUGUAGAAAUCCGAUGUUUAUUUUCUUUAAAUAUUUUGUUAAUGUAUGAACUUUAUUAAUAUUAAAAAAUAAAUAUUUGUACUAUG
Molecule: long non-coding RNA, 1079 nt
Organism: Anthonomus grandis grandis
Lineage: Eukaryota; Metazoa; Arthropoda; Insecta; Coleoptera; Curculionidae
Exons: 5
Source: RefSeq, a predicted model, not a curated record